RNAcentral lists this long non-coding RNA (4763 nucleotides) under Bemisia tabaci. RNAcentral's name for it is "lncRNA ENSSSA3NGG000466". Lineage: Eukaryota; Metazoa; Arthropoda; Insecta; Hemiptera; Aleyrodidae. The record is from RNAcentral.
AUGAAUUGCACGGCAUUAAGCGUAGCAAACAGUAAUGUUAGUUUUAGGAGAACAGAGUCUGGUGAGUUAAUUGACGUUGGUGAGCAAAUCAAAGUUGCGGAGUUUUUAAAAUAUCUUCUACGUACAAGACUUUGGCUUCUCAGAGCUCAAAAUGAAGAGCAGUGCAGUCUCAUGCAGUCAUUCUCGUCAGAGAAUCGGAGUAUGCUGACAGAAUUGGAAUAUGUAAAAGCUGUUCAAGAUUUUCAACUUCAUGGACUCAUGAAAAAACUCGUUCGCUCACAGAUUUCUACAAUCACAGUCACAGCUGAUCUAGUAUGGAACCUUGCAGUGAGGAGUUCUCCGAGAUUUAAUUUGGAAGAGUACACAUCUGUUGAUCUUCGUGGAAAUUUUGAGGCCUUGAGGAAGGGAUCUUUUAAAUUGCAGAAUCACUAUUGCCUAACAUCACAACUUAAAAGAAAGAAAGAUGAAAAGGGAUGGGAAGUAUGUGAAGUGGCAUCUAAUGCCAAGCGUAUUGCAAUAGAAACAGAAGAAAGCAGCAAAUUGUAUGAGGAGAAAGCUAAAUUAUUCAAGAGGUUGGAGAAAAAAUUCAUCAGAUGCAAAAGAUGCAAACAAUUUUGGUCCAACUUAGAUCUACUUUUCAAAGUUGUGGUGUAGAAAACUUUGACGAACAGCACAAAAUGUUGACAGACAUUGGGAAGCCCAGAACUUGGAACUACUAUAAUAAAAUGGUUAACAGUAUAACUCACAGUAAUGGUACAGUAUGAGUCUACCUCAUUUUAUAAAGCUUGUCAUAGGUCUAAGAUACUGAAAAUAUACAUCUCCACCCAAAAAAUGGACUGCAUCACAUGAUAAAUGACGUAACUAAGGGUUCCAUUAAAGGGAAAUGCAGGGAAUUUGAUAUGCUCAAAAAUUUUCGUUUUUUUCGAAAACCUUGAGUCUUGUCUAUUUGGACGUGAGCAAUACAACCGCAAUGAUGAUGCAGUGGUCCCUUAUGGUCAGAGACCGCAGUGCGAUCCCUCAUUUUAAAUCUUUAGAAAUAUCAGGAAAUGCAGUAUGAUCAGGAAAAAUCAGCAAAACAGAGGACGUUGAGGGAUUGAGAAACACCAGUCGCAAUGGUUGAAUUUUGCCGAAAGAACCUAACCCAUAGAGUUACUUGUGGAUUGAUGCUAAAAUUUUUCAAAAAUGAUGUAUUUAUUUUCAUCCUUCCAAGUGGCCGGAACUUUGUCACGGGUGGCGUAGAGGGUCAAAACUUAGUACACAUGAGUGUCACCACUUCUGACACCUGUUUUUUGUUAUUAAGCACCGUCGAAAACAAGGAUUUUUUUUUUUUCAUACGCAUUAGAAUACCUACAAAAUUCAAGAAUAACCGUAAAAAUUGCAAUGAAUUGUGAGAGCAUAAAGAACUUAUGAUUUUCUUUUAAUUUUGCGAUCUCUGCAAGAUGACUUUAAGAUAUUAUAUUUUUAUUUUUAUUGAUUGAACCAAGUAUUCACAUGUAGUUUUUCUUUAAAAAUGAAUGUAAUUUUUUUGUAAAUUAUCUAUUUUGAGUCUCAAAUCGCUCAAUUUUAUUUUUUAACAAUAUAUUUGUAUGUAAAAUUUCUUAUGCCAAAAUUCAAAUUAAAAUUUCAAUUAAAAUUCGAUCUAAAAUUUCUUUUUCUUUCUUAUUUCGUUUCUUUUCUUUUUAGAAUCAGUCCUAAUCUUUCAAUCUUCAUUUAAUAUUCUUGUUCGCAAAAUCAAAUGAAGUAAUCUUAUUCAGGCUAAAAAUUGGAAAAUUUGUCCAUAACAUUGAAGCUCUGAUAAGUAAUUAUGUGCACAAUUUUUAAGACAGUCGUUUCAAUGACAAGAAGGUCCUGUUCUAGCCAUUUGGUAAAAAUAGUAUAAUUCCUGUUGCCACCUUUUGAUUUGCUUUCUUUAAUUUUAUCACAUUUUGGUCUUAUGUGAAGCGGUAAAAAUUUUCAUGAAAAGCCCUUCAUGGUAUCGACGCGAUCUCACGCUUUGUGAACGUCACAGGGGCAACACUUUGUGUUAUAAGAUAUUAUAUGACAGUUUUGAAGCAUCAAUGGUAUUUUUUAAUCAAUUAUAUAAUCCCUCAUUUCUUAUUGAGACCAAGCCUUCGGUGGAAUAAUCAUCUCUUGUGACAUUUUCAAAAUCAUCAAUUUUCAAGUGAAAGCUCAAAUGUUGUAAAAACUGCACAGUGGAUUGUUUAAAGAGUAUAUCCAAUUACAAAAAGAAAAAAAAACCAAUUCUUUUUACUGCCUUCAAUUUGCAAUGUAUUUAAUAAUCAAAACUUGCACAUGAUUCUCUCAAAACCAUGUUUCUACCUUCAUGUGAUUAUCUCAGCCAAAGCCUCAAUUAUAGUUACAGUUAACAGUCUGUUACAGUUAACAUUUUUAGAAAAAUACGAUGAAAUUCAAAAAAUCAAUGGUUGCAAGAUUUUAAAUCCAAAAUAAGUGGAAAACUCACACUUUUUCCAGCUUCUUUUUAGAUUUCAAAAUGGGUCUGCUCUUGCUGCAAAACUCUCAACUAAUUACAGAUGCAGUUUCAUUUUGGGCUAUUAGUGCUUCAUCUUUGUCUCAGGUCCCAAGUGCAAUAAAUUUAGCCGUACUGCGAACCUUCAAUUUCACAGAACUUUAGAGGAAAAACAGUUUGUACAAUAUAAUUAUUAAAAUGUAAAAUUUGAUCUUUGAGCAUUCAUUUACCUUAAAGUAAAGCUUGUAGGACGGAAUAUUUAAAAAAUAAGGUAAUCCAGAUUUAGUGAAAUUAUUUUAUUUAUUAGAUUUUAAAUACUUAUACAAAUGAAAUCAUAACAUAUUAAAAAUUAUCAAUCAAUGGUUUUGCAAAACUUGAAACAAAAAGUGAGAGGCAACAACAGGAGAGGAGAAGAACUGAGUUGAAAAAAUGGCAACUCCACUUAUGACAACUUAUUUGUACACGAAAGGUACAAGGACAAAAAAUACGAUCCUAACAAGGCACAGCUUCCCUGGAGCAGUGUGAAAUGAAAAGUGAAUGUAUCUCUUUGAUCUUCUUAAAAUCUGUCGGUAAGGUAUUUACAAAGAACGAGGGGGGGGGGGAUGCACCAGUCGACUGACACUAUAAUGAGAAUACUCUUGGUAUUGCAUAGUCAUGGCGUCACCUUGGGUACGAUCGUAUGACCACCAACUUGUGUCUUGCAUUUUUACUUUAGUGAAGGUUACCGAAAAGAUCAAAGACGUAUAUUCACUUAGAUUUAACAUUUCUUCAGUGGAGCCAUGAAGGAUCAAGCAUUUUAAAGACUCAAGCUCGCUAUACAACUAAUUUUCUGUGAGUCCCAACAAUCCAAAAGAAUGUUGGGCAAGAGGAUUUCUUCAAGCGGAAAUUCUUAUUUUUACCUAGAACAAGUUGGCACAUGUACAAACUGUACAAAUAGUAAUUGACAGUUGUUAAAAUAUAUUAAAAGUGAUAAAGACAAAAAAGUAAUUCUGAGUCUAAAACAUGAUUCCUAGACUUACUUUGUUUGAGGUAACAAUUGGAAUAUAUGUCACAGAAGCUUUGUUGUUUGCAUUACUUAUGCAUGAUCAUUGAGUGACCAAUUCGAAAAAAUGAGGUUAGAAACCCUGUAACAGUUUCCAGAACCUACUCAGAGCAUGUUCCUUAUUGCUGUACAUCAAAGUGUUAGGGCAGCAUUGCCAUGUUGUGCACAAGAAGGUUUCCUAUUAAAUAAGCUGCAAUCACCCACAGUCAGUAACACUUGAUCAAUGGAGAAAUUUUUCACACUACGGUGAAAGCAGUUACAAUUGUUACACCAAACAAAAUAAAACUAUGGAAUUUUUAAAUUAUAUUAGUUUUGUCACUUUCCUUUUCUUUUUUUUUCUUUUUUAGAGAUGUCAGUAGAGCAGUAAUUAUCUGCUCGGAGCUUAAAACUAAGUUUCUCUAAAGAUUAGUUUUCUUUUGUUUAGUACAUUGUGUUAAAAAGUAAAAAAAUUCUUAGAGUGGCUUUGUGCUGAAUUAAAGAAAUGUUAAGACUGAAUCUUUUCGUCAUUAUGAAUACGAUGAUUCCUUCAAAGGAGGAGUUGAAUGGAAAAGAUGUAUACAUGGGAAAAUUACAACUUUGCUCCAGUAGUGCAAGUUUUUCAUUCACUCAUUAGCAGGGAAAGUAUAUGUACAUUAUCCCAAGAAUUUUACGAAAAAGACUUGAAAAUAUUGUACAGUUAAUUGCCUGAUAAAAAAUUAAGAAAAUAAAAAGCGCAAAAAGGGCUUUUACAACGUAUGUUUCAAGCACCUCAAGAAAACACAGGAAAAAUUUGAUGAACUUUUUAAAAAUUGCAUCUCUUACAAGGAAAUAGAAAAAAGAAGAGAACAGAUACAUGAGUAUAAAGGAUGGAAUCGCAAGCUGGAGACGGAAAAUUAUAAAUAUUAACAUAAAUUAAAAAUUGCACAAAAAAAGGCAGUUUUUCAUGAUGAAGUAAUACAAAGUAAGUAGAUGAUUAUGAAUGACGAUAGCAAGUACACAGAAAAACAUUGAGAGGGGAAAGAAUCCUCUUUGAAGAAUCCUCCAUGAAGGAGGUCUUUGAAUGAAUAUUAGUGAUUGGGGUCUUCAUGUUUGCUGUUCAACUUGGUAGGGUCGAAAUUCUACAAAAAUGAGAGGAAGAUACUUUUGAUUCAUAGGUGAAUAUACUUUGAUUGUUUGGAAACUUUACUAAAUGGCACGGUGGCAUUCAAAACAGAAUUAUAAAAAUCCUGAUUAUUUUUUUUUUUUUUUUUUUUUUUUUUUUUUUUUUUAGCAGAA